Molecule: small nuclear RNA, 168 nt
Filed under: Moschus moschiferus (Siberian musk deer)
Lineage: Eukaryota; Metazoa; Chordata; Mammalia; Artiodactyla; Moschidae
Description: U1 spliceosomal RNA (ENSMMSG00000003947.1)
Rfam family: U1 spliceosomal RNA
About the family: U1 is a small nuclear RNA (snRNA) component of the spliceosome (involved in pre-mRNA splicing).
Source: Rfam by way of RNAcentral
AUACUUACCUGGCAGGGGAAAUACCAUGAUCACGAAGGUGGUUUGCCCCAGGUGAGACUUACUUACCCAUUGCACUCUGGAUGUGCUGACCCCUCUUAUUUCUCCAAACAUGGGAAACUUGGCUGCAUAACUUGUGGUAGAGGGGGACUGCAUUCAUGCUUUCCCUUG